Molecule: ribosomal RNA, 458 nt
Filed under: uncultured bacterium
Lineage: Bacteria
Description: partial 16S ribosomal RNA
Rfam family: Bacterial small subunit ribosomal RNA
Source: RNAcentral
CCUACGGGAGGCAGCAGUGAGGAAUAUUGGUCAAUGGGCGAGAGCCUGAACCAGCCAAGUCGCGUGAGGGAGUACUGCCCUAUGGGUUGUAAACCUCUUUUGUCGGGGAGCAAAAGCCGGACGUGUCCGGCUGUGAGAGUACCCGAAGAAAAAGCAUCGGCUAACUCCGUGCCAGCAGCCGCGGUAAUACGGAGGAUGCGAGCGUUAUCCGGAUUUAUUGGGUUAUAAGGGUGCGCAGGCGGAUUUUUAAGUCAGCGGUAAAAUCGUGGGGCUCAACCCCAUCCAGCCGUUGAAACUGGGGAUCUAGAGUGUGCGAGAGGUAUGCGGAAUGCGUGGUGUAGCGGUGAAAUGCAUAGAUAUCACGCAGAACCCCGAUUGCGAAGGCAGCAUACCGGUGCACAACUGACGCUCAGGCACGAAAGCGUGGGUAUCGAACAGGAUUAGAUACCCUUGUAGUC